GAUUUCUACCUGACCGUCCUGGCUCGCUUUCUUUUAUCCUUAUCGAGAGCCAGGCCUAUCCUUCACUGGAUUGGGCGUGUGCGAUCGAUAUCAUUUACUUUGAAAAAAUUAGAGUGUUUAAAGCAGGCUUACGCUGUGAAUACAUUAGCAUGGAAUAAUAAUAUAGGACUUCGGUUCUAUUUUGUUGGUUUCUAGGACUGAAGUAAUGAUUGAUAGGGAUAGUUGGGGGUGCUAGUAUUCCGCGGCCAGAGGUGAAAUUCUUGGAUUCGCGGAAGACUAACUACUGCGAAAGCAUU
This 296-nucleotide ribosomal RNA is filed under the name uncultured Cercozoa. RNAcentral describes it as "partial 18S ribosomal RNA". The stretch from base 84 to 296 matches the Rfam family "Eukaryotic small subunit ribosomal RNA", at positions 741 to 955 of the family's 1831-position model. The record is from RNAcentral. Lineage: Eukaryota; Cercozoa.